RNAcentral lists this ribosomal RNA (253 nucleotides) under uncultured bacterium. Its description in RNAcentral is "partial 16S ribosomal RNA". It matches the Rfam family "Bacterial small subunit ribosomal RNA", at positions 524 to 776 of the family's 1533-position model. The record is from RNAcentral.
UACAGAGGUGGCAAGCGUUGUUCGGAAUUACUGGGCGUAAAGGGCGCGUAGGCGGCCUACUAAGUCAGACGUGAAAUCCCCCGGCUUAACCUGGGAACUGCGUCUGAUACUGGAAGGCUUGAGGAUGGGAGAGGGAUGUAGAAUUCCAGGUGUAGCGGUGAAAUGCGUAGAUAUCUGGAGGAACACCGGUGGCGAAGGCGGCUUUCUGGACGGUGACUGACGCUGAGACGCGAAAGCGUGGGGAGCAAACAGG